GUGGGGAAUUUUGGACAAUGGGCGCAAGCCUGAUCCAGCAAUGCCGCGUGCAGGAAGAAGGCCUUCGGGUUGUAAACUGCUUUUGUACGGAACGAAACGGUCCUGGCUAAUACCUGGGGCUAAUGACGGUACCGUAAGAAUAAGCACCGGCUAACUACGUGCCAGCAGCCGCGGUAAUACGUAGGGUGCGAGCGUUAAUCGGAAUUACUUGGCGUAAAGCGUGCGCAGGCGGUGCUGUAAGACAGGCGUGAAAUCCCCGGGCUCAACCUGGGAAUUGCGCUUGUGACUGCAGUGCUGGAGUGCGGCAGAGGGGGAUGGAAUUCCGCGUGUAGCAGUGAAAUGCGUAGAUAUGCGGAGGAACACCGAUGGCGAAGGCAAUCCCCUGGGCCUGCACUGACGCUCAUGCACGAAAGCGUGGGGAGCAAACAGGAUUAGAUACCCUUGUAGUCC
This 450-nucleotide ribosomal RNA is filed under the name uncultured bacterium. Its description in RNAcentral is "partial 16S ribosomal RNA". It matches the Rfam family "Bacterial small subunit ribosomal RNA", at positions 354 to 796 of the family's 1533-position model. The record is from RNAcentral.